Pomacea canaliculata is the source of this 814-nucleotide long non-coding RNA. RefSeq lists it as uncharacterized. The transcript is spliced from 2 exons. Lineage: Eukaryota; Metazoa; Mollusca; Gastropoda; Architaenioglossa; Ampullariidae. The record is from RefSeq and is a predicted model, not a curated record.
GGUAUAUGUACAGUGUGAUUGACGCCCUUGCCGGGUACCUGUGAAAGCGAACACUACACUGUAAACCUUCAGGCACCUGGUCAACAUGCGGGGGAACCUGGUUGUUGUUGUUGCUGUGGUGCUGGUGUGUCAGCUCACGAACUCCAUGGCCGAUACAGACACCAAAGACCAGAGCCUGUUGCAUCUGCUGACUAAGCGAGAAUCCAUAAGCGAGAAUCCAACUAUUCCACCUCCUUUUUUCCCACUUCGAAGGCCUCCAUUUACUAUUGUAGAGUUUCGACCUACAAAACCUCCACUGUGCAUGUGCCUCGGUGAAUCGUGUCCCUGGUACUGCCGCCUCCCACGCCCACGUGACCCGAUUCCGGACUGGAUUAGGUAACUCCAUUGUAAAACUGUAGGACAGGUGGAAAUGAUAAACAAACUAGCCAUCACUAGCAGCAUCAUGGUAUUCUCUCAUUACUACAAAUGACAGAGUGGAAACGACUGCCUUCACCUGACUUGUAUACCAGCAAAGAAACAGAAUUAGACUCCUUGUUUGUUUUGAAGUGUUGCCAUGGAGUCAGUGAACUCUACUCACUGAUUGUGCUCCUUCGCUGUCCGCUGUGUUGCCAGCAUAAUUCCAUCCUGAAUCCUUUCAUUUACAUUCAUUUCUAUUCUUUUCGUUUUGUAAACGUAAAAUGGAAGAAGGUCUGCAUUCUGACCAUGUUGUUAGCGAAAAUAAAAAUACCGUUAUGGAUGUAAAUAAACAAGUAAACAAUGAACUGACAGCAACUGAUCUGACCUGAAGAUUAAAGUAAACAAUAUAAAGGUUGAA